ACACUCACCUGGCUGAGGAGAUACAGAGGCUUUCCUAGGAUGAAGCUCACCUAUUGCACUGCAGCUAUGCUGACCUCAGCAAUUUCCCCAAAUGUGUGGAACUCGAUUUGCAAUGGAUUUACCAGGGAAUUUGAAGCAAGCCCUGG
This 146-nucleotide small nuclear RNA is filed under the name Salvator merianae (Argentine black and white tegu). RNAcentral's name for it is "U1 spliceosomal RNA (ENSSMRG00000023012.1)". The record is from RNAcentral. Lineage: Eukaryota; Metazoa; Chordata; Lepidosauria; Squamata; Teiidae.